GUCGAAAAUCGACUUUUAGAUCGCAGUACUUUCAACACCUAUAAAAUACCAGAAAAAUAAAAUAAGAAAUAAUACAACUGCUGCACGUAAUAUAAUUACUUUACAUUCGUUCAAAAACAAACUGACAUUCGCAAUUUACAUCUUUACAACAAUAACAAGUAAUUAGGUAACAUACAAAAUGGCUCGUGGUCACCAAAAGAUUCAGUCACAAGCAAAAGCGCAGGAAAAACAAGCUAAAAUGAAGAAACAACAAGGACAUAGCGCUACUGAUCAAAAGAAAGCUGCCCAAAAAGCUCUUGUGCAUGUUUGUGCCGUAUGUAAAUCUCAAAUGCCUGAUCCAAAGACGUACAAACAACACUUUGAGAAUAAACAUCCCAAAAAUGAAAUGCCACCAGAAUUGAAGGACGUUUAAAAUUAUUCAAAUUGUGUUCUUUUUUACAAACAAAAUUAAAAUAGACGCGCGCCCGCCUCCGACUUGAGGAUUAUUGCUAGCAGCUUGCUGUAUAAUCAAUCUUAAAUUUAAGUGAAACGGAGAUGUUACUCUUAGAAGUACACAAAUACUUCGAUAUACAUAUAACGAAGGUUUACAACUAACUACUCUUAAUGUAAAUUGUGUGUGAUGGCAACCGGAAUUUUUAACUCAAAUUGUUUCCUUCAUAUUGAAAUCACCUCAUCACACAUUUUUCAUAAAUGAUAAUGUAAUAUUUUUUUUAAAUACAUAGAUACGUUGAAACGAAA
This is an RNA transcript of Stomoxys calcitrans (stable fly), 738 nucleotides long. It is a transcript of the gene named zinc finger protein 706-like, with no coding region annotated. The transcript has 4 exons. NCBI's taxonomy places the organism in Eukaryota, Metazoa, Arthropoda, Insecta, Diptera, Muscidae. The record is from RefSeq and is a predicted model, not a curated record.